This 2575-nucleotide long non-coding RNA is filed under the name Homo sapiens (human). Its description in RNAcentral is "HSALNT0063573". Lineage: Eukaryota; Metazoa; Chordata; Mammalia; Primates; Hominidae. The record is from RNAcentral.
CCACCUUCAUGAUACAUGGGUGACGAUUUGAAAGUACACAUAUUUCCUCAUCUGUUUACAUUUGCCGGGGGCGGGGGGCAUAAAACUGUAGGGCACAGGGAGUUGGGAGGGGGGCAUUUGCCUGAGAGAUGCUGGAUACCAUUUCGCGAUAAAUUAGAUACGGACACUGGAACAAUUAAUACGUGUAAUAACACGUAUGUGAAAGUAUUAUUACAACAUUACAGAGGCGACCAUUACCCCCACUGCAGUCAUACUAAUGCAGUCAUUCGUUUAAUGCUCCAUUCAAUCUGCAGUGUAAACCAACGCAAUUCUUUUUAAUAGAUCCCUUUCAUCAGAGACUGUGUUGGAAAGAGGGCAGUCUUCCACUAACUCCCAAAGUGAAUAGAAGGUAGCCUGGGGAAUCAUCUCUGUAUCUCUUGCCAUUUCUUCCUGAAGAGAAUGCAAUACAUUGUCCAAGGAAGGCAAAGUUAUUUAGCUAUUAUAAUUGUAGGUAGAAUGAUCUUGAACCUAUUUUCAAAAGCAUUCAAAGAACUCUAACUCACCCUUUGCAAAGAAACAGUACUCUCUUUUAAUUUAUGCAUAAAAUCCUUCGAUAGACAGGCCUGGAUAUAUGUUUUACAUCUUUAUUUAGUGAAUUUUGUAUAUACUAUAAUUUAUACCAUCGUUAGUUCAUAUUAUUGACAUAUAAUACCACAAGUUAGUGUCCGUAUUACCUACAUUAAAAGAUAGGAAAGGAUGGAGUUGGUCACAGAGACAGCCAGGGGCCUGUGGAAUUUUUUGGGAUAUAUACAUAUACACACACUCUAAAUUUAGUAUGGCAACUGUGUUGGUUCUGCAUAAAAUGAAUUUAGAUUAUAUAUAUAUACGUGUAUACGUGUGUGUAUAUAUCAUACUUACAAUGUUUUCAUUUGUUCUUUAAAAUACUCAGCAUUCUUCAAGAUUAUUAAGAUUAGUAAAAUAUCUACAGGGACCCAGAAAGUAAUAAAAAGCACCAUGUAUUAAAAUGGAUUCUUUUUAAAUAUAGCAUUUCAGACUCACUGGCAUGAAUUCCAAACCUCUUUCCAGUAUUUUCUAGGAUAAUAAAUUCUUCCAUGUGAAUUUUACAUACAGGAAGACAUAGAUAUACAAAGAAAAUUUGUCAUAGGUGUUUCACUCACUGGGUCGCCAAAUUGGGCUUCAAAGUGGUAUAUCUAGGCAGGGUUGCCAAAGGAGUACAUCCCCAUAAUGAAUCAGUCAGAUUUAGGAAAAACCAAACUGCAUCAGUAGUUUGAUGUGUCACAGAGAUAUUUUUGGCCUUUUCAGGUGGUUGCCCAAUUUGAGGAGACUCACUCCUGGAUACACCAUAUUUUAUGUGGGCAAGUGUGAAAUCACACACAUGCCCUUUGAGCCUCAGGGCUGGAGGAUAUUAAAGUAACCCUGAAAGACAUUGGGCAACAUCACUCCUAAAGUUACUGAAUCUCUUUAACUUUUUGGAACUAUUUUCAAGGUCAUUUUGAUGAGAGAGUUCUGAAUAUAUUAAUUUGUUUACUCUGAGCAGAUGUUAGUGUGGCCUGAUGGUACUGGGGAGCUGCAGAAGAUUGAAUAGCUAGAAUAGGUUGUUAGUGUUAAACAUGAGUACUACCCAUACAAAUAUUACAGGCCAGAUAAAAAUAUUGUAGAGUAAGUGAUUAUGAUGGAUAUUUGAUUUUAUGUUGUGACUUUUUAGUGCUUUGCAUACAGACAUUUACAUGUCCCUAGUUUUAUUUUAACCAAACAUCAUUUACAUUGUGAAAAAGGAGAACUCUCAUUUAAAAAAAGAUGUUCUUUAUUGAUGAUGCACAAUGGAUAAAAGGAAAACAUAAAAGUAAUAUAUAGGAUGUAAUUUUUAGUUCAACAAAUAUUAAUUAUGUCUACAUUGCUGAUUGGUUUUUAAAUUAUAAACAUUACAAUAUUUCAAAUAGUUUUAAUGAUUCUGUCAUUUUUCAGAGAGGAACAAUGAUAUUGAAAUAACUAAGAUAGACUUUAUUUUUUGGUCUAGCAUAUAUUUUGCUCAUUCUGAUGGUUUAAAUAAAAUAAAUACAUCUUUUAAAAGAUUUACUACUAAUUAAACUAGGGUUAGAGAACUGUUUGUUGUAUAAUGAAGUAGCCACUCAAGAAAGUUCCAAACUUGAAAUGUAGCUGUGGUAAUCUGUGAUUAUGUACAGCAUGUAGCCAUUUACGUAUUGUGUUUGUCUGUUUUUAAGCAUUGUAAAAACAUUUGUGAAGCAUUGUAAAAAAUUUGUGAAAAAAAACAUUUUUUUUUCUCUUUGUUCAUUUCAAAUGCUGUUUAGGUCAACAAAUUGCAUGUCUGAUAACCAUCAAAACCUAAGUGCAUUGUCAUUUGCUUAACUUUUGAUAUACCACUGUUGAAACAAUUGAAAAUAUAGUUACACACAAUUUUAUAAAUGGGAACAUAGGCUAUAAAAGUUAAGCAAAUAAAAAUGUGAUAAAACAUGAAUUAAUAUUUUUAGUUUUGUUGUAUGUUUAUUUCUGUAGAUCUUUCUGUAUCUCCAUAGGAGAAACACUUUUGAAACAUUUUAUAUCGUAGAAAAAGUUC